Molecule: ribosomal RNA, 468 nt
Filed under: uncultured bacterium
Lineage: Bacteria
Description: partial 16S ribosomal RNA
Rfam family: Bacterial small subunit ribosomal RNA
Source: RNAcentral
GACGAACGCUGGCGGCGUGCUUAACACAUGCAAGUCGAACGGAAAGGCCCUGCUUUUGCUGGGUUCUCGUUUGGCGAACAGGUGAGUAACACGUGUGUAUCCUCCCCUUGUCUGUCGGAUAUCUCCUGGAAACUGGGGCUAUCACCCGGGAGGAUCUCCUGCUGCGUAUGGGUGGUUGGAAAGUGUCGGCGGUGCGGGCUGGACUCGCUGCUUACCAGCUGCUUUGUCGGGUAGUUGCUUACCAAGCCUUUGACGGGUAGCCGGCCUGGGAGGGUGAACAGCCACAUUGGGCCUGAGAUACGGCGCAGUCUCGUACGGGAGGCAGCAGUGGGGAAUAUUGCAGAAUGGGCGGAAGCCUGAUGCAGCAGCGCCGCGUGCGGGAUGACGGCCUUCGGGUUGUAAACAGCUUUCGCAUGUGACGAAGAGUGAGUGACGGUAAUGGGUAAAGAAGCCACGGCUAACUACGUG